Molecule: ribosomal RNA, 468 nt
Filed under: uncultured bacterium
Lineage: Bacteria
Description: partial 16S ribosomal RNA
Rfam family: Bacterial small subunit ribosomal RNA
Source: RNAcentral
GACGAACGCUGGCGGCGUGCUUAACACAUGCAAGUCGAACGGAAAGGCCCUGCUGUUGUGGGGUGCUCGAGUGGCGAACGGGUGAGUAACACGUGAGUAACCUGCCCUUGACUUUGGGAUAACUUCAGGAAACUGGGGCUAAUACCGGAUAGGAGCUCCGGCUGCAGGGUGGGGGGUGGGAAGUUUCGGCGGUUGGGGAUGGACUCGCGGCUUAUCAGCUUGUUGGUGGGGUAGUGGCUUACCAAGGCUUUGACGGGUAGCCGGCCUGAGAGGGUGACCGGCCCUGAGAGGCCGGAGAUACUGCUCAGACUGGUAGGGGAGGCAAAAGUGGGAAAUAUGGCGAAAUGGGGGGACGGCUGAGCCAGGAGCGGGGCGUGCGGGAUCACGGUCUUCGCGUUUUAAACCGCCGUCGCCGGUCACUAAGCGUUAGUGACGGUAAGGAGUAAAGAAGCACCGGCUAACUACGUG